Molecule: non-coding RNA, 73 nt
Organism: Phrynosoma platyrhinos (Desert horned lizard)
Lineage: Eukaryota; Metazoa; Chordata; Lepidosauria; Squamata; Phrynosomatidae
Source: the annotation of a GenBank genome assembly
GCCAGCAUGGUGUAGUGGUUUGAGUGUUGGACUACAAAUAUCAGAAAACCAGGGUUCGAUUCCCUUCUUGGCC